CAUCAGAAAUUCCUCACAAUAAUAUUUUUUUGAUGGGGAAGAAAAAACUCCUUUAGGCUUAUCUCCUAAGAGAGAUCCAAUUCAAUGUCAUCGAGCCUUCCACCGUCUCAUGGCGUCAUUCAUCCAUGUCAUAUCUUAUUUUUUAGUGCACAAACAAACAGAAGCCACUCCCCUUUACGCUGUCUUGCCAAGCAACGAAAGGGAAUAUAUUUUACUCCUCUAUUGUAUGUACGUGGAAACUCGAGACCAGCCUUCUUUUCCCCCGGUUUGGUUUGCUUG
This 279-nucleotide long non-coding RNA is filed under the name Elaeis guineensis (African oil palm). RNAcentral's name for it is "long non-coding RNA (EGUI_LNC007566)". Lineage: Eukaryota; Viridiplantae; Streptophyta; Magnoliopsida; Arecales; Arecaceae. The record is from RNAcentral.